UAGGGAAUCUUCGGCAAUGGACGAAAGUCUGACCGAGCAACGCCGCGUGAGUGAAGAAGGUUUUCGGAUCGUAAAACUCUGAUGUUAGAGAAGAACAAGGACGUUAGUAACUGAACGUCCCCUGACGGUAUCUAACCAGAAAGCCACGGCUAACUACGUGCCAGCAGCCGCGGUAAUACGUAGGUGGCAAGCGUUGUCCGGAUUUAUUGGGCGUAAAGCGAGCGCAGGCGGUUUCUUAAGUCUGAUGUGAAAGCCCCCGGCUCAACCGGGGAGGGUUAUUGGAAACUGGGAGACUUGAGUGCAGAAGAGGAGAGUGGAAUUCCAUGUGUUGCGGUGAAAUGCGUAGAUAUAUGGAGGAACACCAGUGGCGAAGGCGACUCUCUGGUCUGUAACUGACGCUGAGGCUCGAAAGCGUGGGGAGCAAACAGG
RNAcentral lists this ribosomal RNA (429 nucleotides) under Chloroflexota bacterium. RNAcentral's name for it is "Chloroflexi bacterium partial 16S ribosomal RNA". It matches the Rfam family "Bacterial small subunit ribosomal RNA", at positions 355 to 776 of the family's 1533-position model. Lineage: Bacteria; Bacillati; Chloroflexota. The record is from RNAcentral.